Molecule: long non-coding RNA, 978 nt
Filed under: Anser brachyrhynchus (Pink-footed goose)
Lineage: Eukaryota; Metazoa; Chordata; Aves; Anseriformes; Anatidae
Description: lncRNA (ENSABRG00000016103.1)
Source: RNAcentral
CAGAAACACACCAGACUAACAUUUGCAGAAGUAUCUCCUUUUUGGGGUACCUGCCUGACCAUAACUUGUGCUUCUGAGUGAAGCCGCCAAGAUCCAAGGUAGCCAAAACAAAUAAAGAGAUAAUGAGCAAGCAUACCAACUUUGGACGCCACAAGAUGGGUGGUCAUGAUGCAGAAGGGCUGAAGAACUUCUGGGAGAAAGUCAUCCAAGAGCAAACCAGACAACGAGAAGGUGAAGAGCUUAGGUUAAGGAAAAGUGCACUGAACAAGCUUCGCCAUGAGUGGACUGAGAGGCUGGAAGGCCGAGCAAAGCAGGUCCAGGCGCACAUGAAAAAGCAGAAAGAGCAGAUGACGUUGCUGUCUAUUGAGGCUCUUCCCUCACCAGAUAAAACUGUUGCUUAAGGUUACUGUGAAAAUACAAAAAAGCCCUGGGCUUGACUCUGACCUUCUGCAUGCCCCUAUUAACCAGUUACAUUGCUGAACAAGCAAGAGCUCAGACUCUGGCACUUUUCCAGACCAGUUAUUAGAGCUGCUAGUAAAGUCCUACAUAAAUUCAGUGCAAGAAUAAGGCCACAGUACAUAAUCUCUUGAAGACUAUGGAGGGAGGGAUGAGAAGCAGGCAUCUAUAUGUUCACAUGAUAUAUUAUUACUCCAAAGUAGGACGACUUUAUUAUGUAACUGCAUUUUCAAAUGACAAAAAACAUAUUUCUCAGAAAGCGUAUCGCUUGUUUAAUAGGUAUAAUACAUUCAGAUUGCUGCAAGUAAAGUUGUACAUUUCCGUUUACAGAGCUCUCAGACUCUGGCUUAAUGCAGGUGUCAUCUGCCUUGCCUGUCUUGAGCCAGGUUGAGGAUUAGUCUGAUCAGCUGGACAAAAGAGGAAAUACAUUUUUUUUUAAUGGAAUCAGGAAAAAGAAGGAAUGAGGGUUUUGUGAUCAAUGUAUAGGAGAGUUUCCAGAUCUGAAUCACUAGUUGAAAAGAG